Molecule: long non-coding RNA, 612 nt
Organism: Physeter macrocephalus (sperm whale)
Lineage: Eukaryota; Metazoa; Chordata; Mammalia; Artiodactyla; Physeteridae
Exons: 4
Source: RefSeq, a predicted model, not a curated record
GGGUCAUCCUCUCUGACUGGAGGUUUAAAUUAAGGAGACUUUCACUACCAGCUCAACGUGAAUGAACUCGGAAACGUGACACUCUGUGAAAAGAAGCCAGGACGACAUUCCAAAGAAAGGAAUAAUAGUCAUAACAGAAUCUGAAAAACUGCGAAGCGGGUUGAUGAUCAUUGGAGGUAUGUGCAGUUUGGGGCUGUUAUGAACAAAGCUGAUAAGAACAUUUGAGUGCAAUCUGCUGUGGACAUAUGGUAGGAGUGAAGGUCCUGGAUCCCAUGACAGGAAACCGAAGUCCUCCAAGGCUACCGGCUGCGCCAGCGCCGUGCCCCCUGCCUCACCCCACCCCACCCCGGGGCCGGGCUCCCCGCGCACUCCCUUCUGCUGCUCUGUGUAGCCUGGGCCAUCCGCUCACAUUUUCAUGGGGAGGGUUCGUGAACUCUGGAGGGUCUGACACUGGAGUCCUCGGCAACCCCUGGGUUUGAUGAUUACCUGUGAAUUUUACUUGUGGAAACAUCUCUGCCCCCAUGUGCAAUUAGGAGUGAACAACACUAGAUUUAUAGCCUGAUGCAACCAGGAUUUUCUUCCUCAUUUCCACGAGCUGAAAUACAAACUGAA